Molecule: ribosomal RNA, 401 nt
Filed under: uncultured bacterium
Lineage: Bacteria
Description: bacterial SSU rRNA
Rfam family: Bacterial small subunit ribosomal RNA
Source: RNAcentral
CUUUAGUAGCAUGGCAAACGGGAGAGUAACACAUUGGUAAUCUACCUCUAUCUUAGGGAUAAUCCAGAGAAAUUUGGGAUAAUACCUAAUAGUCAUAAGUAAUAUAAAUUAUCUUAUGUAAAGUUCCGGCGGAUAGAGAGGAGCCUAUGGCCCAUCAGUUUGUUGGUAAGGUAAAAGCUUACCAAGGCGAUGACGGGUAUCGGGUGUGAGAGCAUGGCCCGACUCACUGGGACUGAGACACUGCCCAGACUCCUACGGGAGGCUGCAGUCAAGAAUCUUCCUCAAUGGACGAAAGUCUGAAGGAGCAAUGCCGCGUGGUAGAUGAAGCUUUUCGGAGUGUAAAUACCUUUUAUCAGGGAAGAAUCCGGACGGUACCUGAGGAUAAGUCACUGCUACUNAGG